RNAcentral lists this transfer RNA (71 nucleotides) under Phrynosoma platyrhinos (Desert horned lizard). RNAcentral describes it as "tRNA-OTHER". The record is from RNAcentral. Lineage: Eukaryota; Metazoa; Chordata; Lepidosauria; Squamata; Phrynosomatidae.
GCCAGCAUGGCGUAGUGGUUUGACUGCUGGAUUUCAACUCUGGAGACCAGGGUCCAAUUCCCAGCUUGGCC